Molecule: non-coding RNA, 2528 nt
Organism: Cricetulus griseus (Chinese hamster)
Lineage: Eukaryota; Metazoa; Chordata; Mammalia; Rodentia; Cricetidae
Source: RefSeq, a predicted model, not a curated record
GUUCCUGCUCCAGUGGCAGGAUGUGAUUCACCAGCAAGGAGGGACGCCAAUAAGCUAUAUGGCAGGUACUGUAUAAACCUCACAGGCAAUAUGGACUGCUCCAGAUGACUGCUAUGCCUGCUCUCAGCAUGUGUUUCAACUUUCAUCAUUUCUGUACUUGGAACUUCAGCAUUUCUCCCUCCAUUGCUUCUCUCCCUGUCCAUGAAUGUGCAUCCAUCUCCCUCUGGAAUUCCAACGCUAUAGUCAUGCAGCUCUUUUCCUUCAGCGCCAAAUGUCUAAACAACAGACUCCAACCUCUCACUCAAGAAAUACCAUCUCUCAAAUCUUCACUCUGAGACUAUGAUUGCCAACUAUUGAUAAAAUGAUUCAGACGCUUCUGCCAGCAAGAGUGCAGAUAAAUAGCUGGAGAAGUGCGGAAACAGCAAGAACGUUUUAAUUGGAAUUGUGGAGCAAUUUUUAUACUUCAAAUUAUAAAGAAACUGGAGUGCAACAAACAGAAUAUUGAAGUGAAAUUAAGUAUUUCUUUAUGCAGUCAAUAUUAGAGUGCAAAGAAUCUCUCACAGAAGUUAAUAAGUGUGCAGACUCUACCUUUACCUUAUGGAUUCUGCUAAUGUGUUCUUUUCUGUAUCUUCAAGUGUCCAAAUGCAUUGGCUACCCCAGUCAAGAGGGCAAUUCGGAAGCAGAUUGCCAUAACUGUGUAUGCACAAAUGUCCCAAAGAAUCUAUAGAUGGGAAUUUUGAGUUUGAGCUGAAGAAUGCAAAAAUUAUGUAUCUAUCUGGGACAAAUUAGAAGUCCUUUCAAUAGUAAAUUUAGGCAACAAAUGACAGAAGUGUUAAUUAUGUAGGAGUUUGUCUAGGAGAAAUCACUCAUUUUAAGUACUAGUAUUCAUGCAGACCUCAAAGUGGUAUUUCACACACACACCAGUGCCCAAUUAAUCAAUGAAUACUUAGAUUUACUUACUAUAACUUUAUUUUUUAUGCAUCAUAAUUGUAUUUCAAUGUAGUGGUUUCCCUAUAACUUAGAUGUCCCAUUUGCAAGCAUUUAAAAACAUGCUGAGAAAGCCUCCACAGCUCCAACUGCCAACAGGCAGCAUAAAGGAGCAAAAGGUUAAGAAUCCCUGGUUUAAAUGUGUUUGUGAUCCCAGUUCAGAUCCCCAGUUCUCUUUAGCUAAAUUAUAGGAAACAGGCCCUUGCUUGGUUCUGGUAGACGCUGAUUAAGAGGAAAGGCACAACAGUCGCAGUUCCCUAUCAGACAAAUUCAGUACUUGUCAUUUCCAAGGAUACAGCUUCUUUAUUUUCCGUAAAAUAAAAUCACAUUCCACAGAUGCCAGAUCCCCCUAUCACUGGCUUACAGAUGGGUUUCCUGCCAGACAACAAAUGCGACUGCCAGGACUCCUGCUCUGACACUCUGAUAAGGUUGGAGGCAUGUCUUAGAAGGAAACAACAUUCUCAAGGCAAAUGAUUGUUCCGUGAGGGCCUUCUGACACUGUCCAUAUGCAAUGAAGUAGUUAAGUCAAUAAGAUCUGAAGCACAGGGUCACUCUGCUUUACUUCAGUCAAUAAUAAGAGCACUUAUCUCUUGCUGCUUUUUAUAUAUUAUGAUGACAGUGGCUCUGCUGUGUAGUGUUACUACGCCCUAGCUCCCUGUCAUCUUAAGUGUAAGUGAUACAUAGACUAUGUAUGAGAUAGUAAAAAUGUGGGACUAUAAUUUAAUGUAUAGCACAUGGAUACUGUUUAUUUAUAUUGUGUUUAAUCUUUAAAAUUUGUAUAGUUGUAAAUACCCAUACAUCUUUAUAUGUGGCAGACAUAUUUUGUAUCUCUAUAUAUUAUGGAGCUAAGUAUUUAGAAUUUACAUUAUUCUAAGUAUGCCUACACCUUUUUAUGACAGAUGGAAAUAUCAGCAUUGGUAGUUCUCUCACAGGAAAAAUAUUUGUGUUUCUAGUCCUUAGUUGCUUUCAAAUGUAAAUCACAACAUGCAUUCCUAUGUACUGCUAAAACAUGACCAUCUUAAACAGAAAAAUCAAUACCUAUCUUUAUCUAUUGUACUGUCAGAAUGUGAAAAGUUUGCUUUGUUCUGUAAAGAGGGCGGUAACUUGGAAUCAAGGAGUUAGCAGGUUACUUAACAAAUUUUAUAGGCACAAAAAUGUCCUUGAAAUCAGUGGGUGUUUUGUUCAAGGAAACAAGGAAAGGCUUAUAGCCUUGUGCCCUAGUUUCAAAAUGAAUUUUUGUUCACUACAUUGACAGUAUUUAUUGCUCAAUUCCUUUUAGCAAGUACAGGCAUGAUAUUGCCUUGAGUUCCUUUAAAAUUUGGGGGACAAAGUCUGAAGAGAGAAAAGUUCCAGAAAUGAACAUUAGAGAUUGUCUUUUACCUAUGGCUUCAUCGACUACAUAACAUCAAUUUAUAGACUAUUGGUUCAUUCAUGCAUAUAGCUGAGGUACUGGUUUCUUCAAAUGGCUAAUAUUAAUUGAAAUAAUACACAAGUAUACUACCUGGAAGAAAGCAGCUGCUCAAUAAAUAUUAGCUCUCUUA